UGCAUAUGCUAUUUCACUUUUUUACUGAGAAUAUACUCUUUGAACUAAUACAUGUACAUUGGAUAUUCUCCUAUUGGAUUGCUUCGAUAAAAUUGUUUGCACAUUUUAGGACAAUGUUUUCCUACGUAAUAUUUGAAAAGAUGACACUGUUUUUUCCCCUCCCUUUUCCAGUAAAGAACUAACUAAAUACAUUCCAAAACGCAGGUGUUUGCAGUGCAGAGAACAUCCCUACGCAGCCAUUAUUCCCGCACAGUAUAUGUCGGCUGAGGUUAAUUAUCAUGCAUAUAUCCAUAUAUCAGAAGAACAUGCUUGCCAGAAAAGCCAGAACAGAUGCCUGUUGACCAGGGUUCUUGAGCGUGGCGACCACUUAACAGUGCACUGGAGAGAUCAAAGGAGGUACGCACACAUUACUGAUCAUCUUCUUCUUAUACAUAUAUGAUAGCAAGACACGUACUGGUCCAGUCUCCAGUCCACCCAUGCCCCCAUCCAGCGUGUUGCAGGGCCAUGAAUUUGAUGACGCCGGGCCGAAACGCACACACCAAACACAUGUAUACAAAGGAACAUAUAUAGGUGUAGUACUCGAGUUAAUUAAGCCACAGCUAGCGAAGUUCUUCCCCUUGCAUGGUCCCAACAAGGGAGCUAAGAUGGAUCGAUGGAGAAGAUUAUGUGCAUGGCAGGGCAUGCUGGGCACGGACUCCGAGGGAAUGAUGGCGCGUCGCGUUCAUGCAAUGGUCCUUCUCCUGCCCUUCCCUGCGUUUCCAGCCAGGAGGGGCUCCAUGAUCGCAGGCAGGGCGUCAGAUGCACACAUGAUGAGACCCAGGUUUCAGCUGCCUGCCAGCUGAAUGAACAACCUAGCUAGGCGUUGUUUUCAGGGAGGGGGCAUGUUGCUGUCAGUGUGUGGGCGAUGCUGCAGGCAGAAUAUUCAUUCCAUUUGAGAUUAUGUGGGUAUUCAGGAACGUCUCACUCUCAGGCUGGUCAGUGAAAUCUCCUUCGAUCGUUUCUUGCACGUUCCAGAAAAAUCAUUGUCUUACAUUCAGUUCGGAGAGAAGUAAUUUAAGCCCGUAUAUAAUUAGUUUGAAGCUUAGGAAUCCUGGAGGAGCAUUAGGUAUUUAUGUUCCUCUGUGAAAUUCCUAAACAAACCCUCUAAUUCCUAUUGCCCUUGUACUUGUUACAGCGUGUUGAAUUACUGUGCGCCAGGUUAGUUCCACAGUACCACAGCUUCCGGUGAUGCAGCUCAUCAGAGACCACGCAUGCCAUGCAGUACUGGGGCAGCUAGCUAGCCCAGGCUAGCUACUAGCAACUGCUGGAAUCUGAUCAUAACACCUUGCAAUGCAAAGCAGGACGGAAACAAAAAGGAAAUAAUUUGUAUCUUUCCUUGGAUCCCUCUGCCCAUCUUUUCUUUCAUGAAGAUUUGUGAAAGCAAGCAAAGCCAUGGUCGCAUCACAUUCAGUAGAUGCAGGUUGCAGGGAAUGGAACAGGACGCUCGCUUAUGUGUGCCCUGCGAAGCCGUUAUCUCUCUGCAGAGUGGGUGACAAACAAACAUAGGAGACAACAAGAAGAAGAUGAUGAGUCGUCAAUUCCACUGCAUGCUGCAUGCAGCUUCUGCCAGUGAAUGAAUGAGCGAAUGAAUUGACAUAAAGGGCGCGGACAAACCGGGCACUCAAAGGCUGAUUUGGCAGGUUAUGUUUGUUGAUGCUGCACAAAAGAUGGGAAUCAAAUAUAUAUGCACGAGAGCUUUGCAGAAAAUUUCUUCCGUUAUCAUCUGCAGAGUUAAGAGACUCGUAAAUUUGGAAUGCCUGGCUAGCUAAUUGGUCAUCUCAUGCUCGUGGGAUAGUAGGGAAUAAGUUGGAUGAAGCGCCAUCCUUUCUUCUGACAUAUAGCUGCUGAGUCAUCACCUUUGACAUGGCUGCCGAAAAUAUUUAUAUCACCAAACCCUUGCUUGUCGCUAAGCACAGUCUGUCUGUAGCAAGAUAAGAACGGCACCAAAGGAGACAGGUGACAAGCAAAAGCCCUCCAUCCAUGUUUCAAGGGGAGCAACCAUUCGAGGUUGGGAAGAGUAAACAAUCAAAUUCUAUUUGGCCUGUUGCUGAUUGGAUAAAACCAAGCUUACCUUUUGGAAACCAGAAGCAUGUGCAAGUUUACUGAGCUCCACUACUCCGAGGCCAAGUGGGCAGAACUGGUUAUCUUUUCUCCAUUCGCAUUGCACCCAAAGUGGGGGCAUGGAUCAGCCUUUGGAGCUCUUUACAUCUCUAUCAUCUGGUAUGCAUUUCAUAUGUAUUCACUUGUUUUCUUUUGGUUAGAAAUGGAUGCACAUAAUUUGAAUCAAAUGUGUUAGAAGAAUAAAAGACCUACUAACUUACCCAUUGCCAUUGGCCAUUGUAAAGGAAUUAAGACAUAGAUACCUCGUGUGACAAGCACGAUUCUCUGCCUUGCAGGCGCCAUGAAUAUUUUUUUGCUUAGUUAAUUUGAAAUAAUAUUGUGCCUUUUGUCUUAAUCCAUGUUUUAGCUAGCUUUUCUAACAGAUAGAAGAAGUUACACAAAAGUGGAAACAGGGAUCUACACAACUUAGUAAACAGGAAAGCAAUCCUAGCCUUUUGGGACAAUGGCAUGUGCAGUGCAGAUGCACCACUCUGUAGCAAGAGCUAGCAAUACCAAUGCAUAGAGCUAGCAGAAAAAUUUCCUGCCCUAGUUGAACCAAAAAUUAAAAAGGGACAGACUCAACAAAAGUAUCUGAUUAGUUUGACCAAUCUCCCCAAGUUGCACCCAAGUUUUGGGCAGGAAAGUGAGGGUGGCAGCAGGUAUGGGGUCCCAUCCAUCCCAGUGAGGAGAGGGGGAGGAAGGAAAGGAAGCUAGGUGCUCUCUUCAGAUCGCUAAUAAUUCUUUGAAAGGAGAGAUGCAUGGCUUUGGCUGGACAAGGGAGGAGCCCAUCCAUGUGUGACCAUGUGUCUGCAUGGCUAGGGCACCUGAAUAGCAACAUGUGGUUUCCAGGGGGCAGCAUGGCACAACAGUACACUUGGCUGAUGCCGUCCAGGAAUUUAAGGGGACACCUUCUCCUAUGUUGGCAGUUGGAUUUGAUGCUAAUGUGGUCCUUUUGAGCAUGCUAACAUGAGGGAAUUGCCACUUCUUCUCUGAUCAUCACUGUCAUGUAAGUAUAUGUAUAGAACAGCUUUUCUUGUGCGUCUGCAUGCCUUCCAGUUGUUGUUUUGUACCACACUUUGGCUCGG
Molecule: long non-coding RNA, 3224 nt
Filed under: Brachypodium distachyon (stiff brome)
Lineage: Eukaryota; Viridiplantae; Streptophyta; Magnoliopsida; Poales; Poaceae
Description: long non-coding RNA (BDIS_LNC003162)
Source: RNAcentral